GCAAUUGAUACAGCGGAGUGUUGGAGAUGGCUGAUGGCGUACUUGCCCGCCGGGAGUCCGGCGGUUGGCAUACCGCUCCAAGAUGUUCUUUGGUUUUGCCGUAUAAAAUAAAUAAGCUGUGGCCGAUCAUCACCCAGCUAAAAGAAGGGCGGUAUGAUUUGAGAUAUGAAGUCACAGCUGGCGGCAAUUGACACAGCGGAGUGUUGGAGAUGGCUGAUGGCGUACUUGCCCGCCGGGAGUCCGGCGGUUGGCAUACCGCUCCAAGAUGUUCUUUGGUUUUGCUGUAUAAAAUAAAUAAGCUGUGGCCGAUCAUCACCCAGCUAAAAGGUUA
Molecule: long non-coding RNA, 331 nt
Organism: Bufo bufo (common toad)
Lineage: Eukaryota; Metazoa; Chordata; Amphibia; Anura; Bufonidae
Exons: 2
Source: RefSeq, a predicted model, not a curated record